CUGGCGCCCGGAAAGCCGAGGAACCGGAACCGGCCCGCAGCCGGGGCGAGAGGCCGCUGAUUUGACGUCACAAGGAGGCUGCUUUUCUCCUGCCCCGGGCUCCGGCCUCACUGUCCUUCGAGAUCGUGCCGGAGCAGGACCCGGUUCGCUUUCGGAGACAAGUAUUUCCGGUCCCUUCUGAAUUGCAGCUCUGACCUAUGCCUUGUUGACUCACUCACUGGGAUGCCCGAGGCCAAGAGGCUUAGGCACAGGGCAGAUGAGCCCAAGAUUAUGGACCUGGACCUAGGGAGCAUGGGCACGCAUGUGUGUAAGUGCAGGCAUCUGUGCCAAGAGGCCAGGGAUAAAGGUUGGUAUCGCUCAGAGACUACUAGGGCUACAAGAGGACCACCCUGAGGCGAGACCAUGAGAUGAGAAUGCCAGAGAGAGGCUAGAGAAAGCUCAAAGUUUCAACUGGCAGCCUCCUGGCACCCUGGCAUCCUUGCCUACCUUGUGCUAGCCUCCUAUGCCAGCCUCCCCGCCUGGCAGGCCUAUGUACCUGGUUACCUGAGAUAGCAUUAAA
Molecule: long non-coding RNA, 559 nt
Organism: Talpa occidentalis (Iberian mole)
Lineage: Eukaryota; Metazoa; Chordata; Mammalia; Eulipotyphla; Talpidae
Exons: 3
Source: RefSeq, a predicted model, not a curated record